This 9974-nucleotide long non-coding RNA is filed under the name Gallus gallus (chicken). RNAcentral describes it as "lncRNA (ENSGALG00010026883.1)". Lineage: Eukaryota; Metazoa; Chordata; Aves; Galliformes; Phasianidae. The record is from RNAcentral.
GAGCUGUUGCUCUGAGCUGCAGAGAUGCUGUACCGAAGCUCUGACAUGCUGAGCCCUGUCCAAUUCCUCCAAAGCACGCUGUUCCAUGUACCUUUGAGAUGCCAGCUCCUCCAGGGUGAGGUGGGCUGUGCAGCAGAGCUGUCCCCGCUCACACUGUAAUCCUCAGCCCUCAGCUGUCAGCGUCUCGGAUGAGUUCUUGGAGGGUAUCCAGACAAACACAGGAGAGAUUUCAACUGCUGCGAUCCCCUGUCCUAUUUUAUCUCAUUUCUGACAGCCCAUGUCUGCUGAGGCUGGGAAGUGGUGAGGAGACGAGAGCAGCUUCCUGCAUUUGUGGAUGGAGAAGCACUCCUUCCUCUAACAGCCUGCUUGCUUUGCCUGUUUCCUGCAGUACUGAUGCACUGUCUCUUGCCUUCUGGACCAGCUGCAUCUUCAGGACAACGUCCCAGAUGGCUCUUUUAGGGAAAGAAAUCAGAGACUGAUUGGUGGCCAAAAAAAGUCUCUCAUCCAGUAUCAAAGCUUUAGCUGCACCUUAUGCUUCCCAAGGACGGCUUGGAAAGGGCACAGUGGAGCUGCUGCUGAUCCUCUUGCACCGGGCUCAGGGGGUAUCUGGAGAAACCCUGUGUUUCCAGAUAAGGACGUGCUGGAUUUACAGUUGCCUACCACUGUUAAUGCAUCCUCGUCUGCGUGGUCGUGUGAAGGUUGCUUUCCCGUUGACCAGAGGGAGACCCGUGGCUCAUCUGUGCACCCUUCUUAGAGCUGCUGAAUAGACUCAGAAUGGGGUGAUGGCCCCAUGCUCCUUCCUGGGGUCUCCUCUUCCUCAAGAGCCAGCGCAGGCCAGCUAAUGUCCAGGUGCAAAGGGUGCACCGCCCUCUGCCAUGCCAUCUACCUGGUGAUAUCAAGGCCAAGAGCGUCACGUUCUGGAUGUUCAUAAAUUACAAGGGAAACAGCUUUCUUCCUUCACCCCUUGAACUUUUAUUCAUUCCUCCAUUGUGUUAAUGAAUACGUGGUCUAAGCUGUAUGUCAGUCCCUGUUCUUGCUUGCUGUAGAUGAGGCUGGCUUGUCAGCGCUUGGCCUCCUUUUGCCAUCAGCUCGAGUGGAGCUGUUACACGUUAGUUCUCCAGCAGUAUUUUGAUUACCUCUCAUAACACAACGCUGUCAAUGCAGACUGACCAAUACAGCAAUUCAAUGAGCGUGUUGCUCUUGACAAGCCUUAUUUGCCCUGGAUAAGUCAGGUGGAAUAUCUUCAGCUGCAGGUAAUAGGCAGUAACAUCCUCUCUGUGUGUUAGCUGAAGGUUUCCUGAACUAACUCUGAGCAGGGAACUGUGGAGUCCAGAAACAGCAGCUCUGCUUUAAGUGAGGCUCUUGCCCUGGGUAAUCAUCCCAUCCUGAGAAGCACAACGUACUAUCUCAGGCUUCUUCCUAAGCCUGCAAAGCCUCCUUCCCAAAUGCUUCUGAAGAAGCCAAAGCGGGAUCUGCUCUGGCAGAAAGAAGCCUGCAGACCUGGAUCCUCUCCCCUCAGCCACUGCAGCCCUGGAUGGUGUUUAUUGGCAGGCAUCGCUCCCAGUGCUCCUGCUCACCUCGUGCUCUCCCAGGAGAAACAAGCUUCACAUGAUGGCUUUGGAAAUAAGUCAGGGCAUGUGUCUUGGGCAGAACGAAAGGAGCUGGAAACCUGAGCUUUGUUUGCAUGCACGUUGUUCCUGGCUUUGGCAGGGAUGAGCCCUGACUCCGUGCAGCUGCCGUGACUGGUUUACUGGGCACAGCAUGAGGUCCCUCCUCCUUGAAGGACAUUCACUGUAUUUUGAAGCCACGACCGCCGGCAGAGGUAAGAUUCGUGCUUCCUGAGAGCAGCAAGCUUUUUCUGCUUGCCUCCCAGCUUGCCAGCUUGGGUGAACAGCUCUGCAGGAGGGCAAGGAGGGGAGCUGCAUGCAAUUACCUGCGAACACUGGGAAGCGGUGAGAGGUCCCGCUAUCAGCCACGGCCCAGCUGUACCAGGUGAGCCUGCUCCCAGUAUCCUUGGCUCCUGCAGAUGCACGUGAACCAGGCUGGCUGUGUGCUCCAGGUGGAGGAGAAAAGGAGCCUUUCAUCUGCUCCUCACAGAGCAGGCUGGCAGCCAGCUCACGCCUGCUGUUUGGUUCCCUCUGCCACAGCCGGAGCGGGGAGGUGGGAGCUGAGCAGCUGUGCCCCUCCCCAGGGGUCAGCCCAGGGUGGGAAAUGUUAGGGAUGGGCUCUGCUCCCUGUGUUAGCAAUCAGAUUGGGCUGUGGUGUCACACAGGGGGUCACUCCUGGAGCCGCUCCCACGAGCCAGGUGAGAGCUAGCUGAUUUAUCAGGUGCUCUUUGGGCUGUGCACCCUUCCCAGUGUCCUUGGGUAUGCGAGCCUGGAUGCAGGCCCUUCUCCUGCCCUUCACAAGGUGUCUCUCCUUCCUACAUGGACACCCUUGCUCCCCGUCGCUGCGGCAGCAUCCUCCUGUGUUGCUGUCUCAGCUGUGCAGGCUCUGCCAAGGCAAUGCUUCCCCUCCUCCCUGCCCACCGUGCUGUGCCAGCGAGCCCAAACCCACUGUGCUGGUCUCCUGAUUUGUUUUGGUUCAUGUUCCAGACGAGGAUAAAGUAGCAGAUAUUUCUGUGCAGCGAUAGGAUCUCACCAGCCAGCCUUGCUUUAAUGCGAUCCCAGGCAUUCGAGGUGCCCGAUUACCUUAUCUCCCCUCUGCAGAUAUACCUUACUCACCCCUCUCAACCUAAAAACGAGCCAGCCCAGGUGGGAGCUGCAGAAACUCGGCCUCUGCAGCCCUGCAGGCAAAUGGUCGGGCAGAAAGCAUUGAGUGAGGCUCCCACCCUGUGUGCUUUUGCUGCACGAGGUUCCCUUCUUUCUGCUUGCAGCUCUGUGCUGCAGCGGGGUGGCUGGGAAGGCUGCAUCACAGCUGACUCACAGUGCUGGCACGGCGGGAGCCCCACGCACUGGUUGCCCCCCACGCACUGGUUGCCCCCCAGCUCCACAGGGGCACCUGUUUGCUCCCUGGCUUUGCAGUUCAGCAGUCCCUGAGAUGGGCCUGAGGUUGCUGCACGCAGGGGCAGUGAGGCUGUGCCUCGUCCCAGCCUUCCCAGCUGCAUCUUGCUGCUCUCCCUCUGUCACAUGAGCAUUACACCAUCUCUCCCUUGGAGAAUGAGUGUGGAACGUGUCUGGUUGCCAGAGCAAAGUGAAAUCUGCUCCAGCUUCAAACGCAUGCAAUCCCAAGCUGUGCGCUUUGGGUAAAUGCUAAAUCCUAUCUCUGGUUCAUAAAGAGGGGAGAUUGAUGCUGAAGCACGGCGUGGGCACCAAACACCCCAUGCUUUGCAGCUCUCGGGUCUCCUGGAAGCUCCUUGAUUCAAAGGGAAACGUCCCCAGCCAGUGUGAGUCACAGGGCAUAGGUGGGCCGGGUCAGCCCUGAGCAAACACUCAGAUAUAGGGGUGAGGAUUGCUCCAUCAGAUGGCCAAGAAGCUGUUGGUGGCAGAACAGCCUCUGCGAGCAGGCAGUGCAGAAAAAUAAGUGCAAAAUGGAAGGGGGGAGAGGGGGGGGGGAGCUGGAAAUCAACGGCUCAACAGCAGCUCAUCCAAUACAGAGCCUUGAAAAGAUAGGGAUUUUGAAGGGAGGUGAAAAGAUGUGAUGAGAAACUGCAUGGGAAUUUCUAGCAGUGAGGAGGAGGAACUGAAUGAUAGCAUAUUGGGAUUGGGGGGGAGGAGGGAAGAGUCCAAAAGCUCUUAGCUAUAGGAAUAUAGGAAUUGGGAGAGUGGAGUGCAUGUUUUUGUAAUCUGAUGGGGCUGAUGCCAUUCCCACGUGAUGUGCAUGGAUCUGCUUCCAUUCCUGCAGCACUGGGCAGUGCAGGGGCUCUGGGUCACCCCCAUUGCCUGUGCCCAGGUCCUGAGCUCCGGGCAGCACAGCUCAGCUGCCCACCAGCUCCGUGGAAUAUGGUCGAUGGAGGUUUUUCUUUUUGUGGGGUUAUGUAAUGAUUGACCUCGUGGAAAUGGGUCUUAUGAAAGCAUGGAAUCGGCUUAGCUUGCGGACGGCUCGAGCUGCCACGCAGGAGAUGCUAUCAAUGCUGUUAGGAAUUCACACUUUUGUACGGUUGGGAAGCAUUUGACUCCACCUCAUUGUGUCUUGGCUGGACAAAUAGGCCUGGGUCACAGCUAUAUCUUUCCCUGGACCAGGCUGAGCUGUGUGCCAGCAGCCGGCUGACUCACAGAGCAGCUCCAGGUCUGCCCGUGGCCGUGCAGCCGGAGCUAUCGUGCCUGCCUCUGCCAUAGGAGCCCCGUGUGCAGGAGCUGCAGGGAGGAGAGGCAGCGCUCUGCCAUCCUUCUGAGCAGAGCAGAUGAACCCACACCUAAUUGCUUUUAAAAACUCCCUGUUGCUAUGGUGACUCAACAAGCAUGAUGCUCUCGAGUGCUUCUCUCCACUCCCAGGUCUUGCGUUGGCACCGGGAAGCUGUGUGUGUACCUAUGUACGUACAUCUGCUUUCUUCCAGCUUUCAAAGGUGGCAUCCAGUCCCCUUGGAGCGUGAGCAGAAUCCCUUCUGAGCUGGGGAAAGGUUUGCUUGAAAGGUCUUGUAAUAAGGUUAAGGAGAGGCCAGCAGCCGCUCGCCCUGCUGCUGAGCACUUCAGUAGCUAAAUUUAGACCCUUGAGUCAUUACUGAGUCAGCAAAUUGGGGGCAGGAAAUCUUGAUUUCUCUUCUCUUCCUUUUUCAUCAGCGACGGAUCCAAGACGGGCUCCUGACUGCUUUCUCUCUCAAUCCAGCACGCUGCCUCCCGCACUGCUUUCCCCUGGAGCAUCCUUGAGCCUGGCCAGAAGAAGUCAGAGCUCCUUUCCUCUCUGCUGCAGCCACCUGCCCUGACAAGUGGCCUGUCCUCGGGGAAGCGGCAUCGUUUCCUAUCAUUAGUGAUGCGGGGCACGGGAAGCUGUGUCCACUCAGCUUUGUCUCUUGCUGGGUGCACACUGGCCGAGGCCGGUGGCAGCUCAUGCGUCCCCUGGAGCUGCCUUGAAACCCAGUGAUGGGUAAAGAAACCCCAUCCAGCUGCUCUUCUCUGUGCCUGCGAGUGCCUCAGCACGGUGAAUAGCAACGGAAGAGCUCAGGAGAAACAAGCAUGAGUGGUAGAAAUAAGCAGCAUCAAGAGAUCCAGCAAGCGAAGGAUGAAAAAUCAGAGUAACGGCCAAGGAGACGACAUCCACUUGACUUCUCUUGCCCGUGGUGUGAGCAAUUAAUCCAGCUAAGGCAUGGCAGUGGAGUGAGGCCAGGAACAGCAGGAGGACGGCGCUGCACCGGCAGCAGCAAGGUGUGCUACCCCCCUCCGUGCUGCCUUUGAUUUGCUUCCAGGAGGGAACUCUGCUCCCCAUUCUGAGCAGGCCCAGCGCUGGCUGGCAGAGCAGCGGGAGCCCCGCUGUAACUAAUGAGAUGUUUGCUGCUCGCUGCUGACACUGCGGUGGGUUCUCAGUGUGUCUGAGCCCUGUGCUGAUAAACCGAGCCUCCCGGAGAUGGAGUGGCUUCCCUCAGCUACGGGCCUGCUGUGCUCACUCUUAUCUAAUAGGAUCUUUCCUCUGAGCUCUGCUUAAGCCUCCUGUGUAGCAUACCAAACCACCGAGGUUUGAUCCUGCAGAGAAGCGGUGCGGAGUGAGAGCAGAGCUGAGUGUCAGCUGCCCUCCUUUGGGUCACUGCUGUGCAGGGCACGCGCUCGUGGGGGGUCUGUGGGUUCCCUGUGGCUCUGGAAGGUGUUGGACGAGGGGGCUUUCCCCCCAGCCAAACAGUCAUCCCCUCCUUGCUGCCGUAGCUCAUUAGGGGACGGGUGUCCGCCUCUCCCCCGUUAUUUAUUACGCUGUAAAAGCCAAGGUAACGUACAUCAGUAAGUGCUGUGAAGGGUUUCACACGUGUCAGCUGUGCGUACUUUAUGGAGCAGACACUCUUUGAAGACAACGGGCUCCGUGCGGGGAGGCUGCUGUGAUUAAUGCUGCAGCCUUCGGCUGGCUGCUCCCUCCCUGCUGCCACACCGAGCUGAUUUCCCAGGGUGCCCCGAAAACGCUCACGGAGAGGCCUGGGACAGAGGGGAGGGAAAGGCUGUGUGCCUCCCGUUGGCAGGAGGAUGGGCAGAGCACACAAGGAGAAGUUUCUUCUCCAAAAGAUGGGUGAUGCGGUGGCACAGCUGCCCAGGGAGCGCUGGGGUCACCGUCCCUGCAGGUGCUCCACAGCCACGGGGAUGUGGCACUGAGGGAUGUGGGCAUGGUGGGGUGGGCUGGGGAUGCUGGAAACUUGUUUUGGAGACGGUCAGACCCUGUCCUGUAGGCACCUGCCUGUCACAGGGGGUGUCCUGCAUCUCCAGCAGUUACCCUGGGCAGAUCCAGCUCUCCUGCAGGACGCUCUCCGUUGCUGCUCCUCGCUGGUUCUGAGGAUUUCUUUCUCCCAACGCUUGUAGGUGAUUGCUUCCUCCUUCUCCUCCGCCUUCCUUUUGUCUCUCUGCAGCACGACAGGUCUGGGAAGGGCCAUCUGCCGCUGUGAUUAAUGGCCCUUUUCUGGAAAAACAACAGAGACAAAUGUCCUUCUGAGCACGGCAGAGAGAAGCGGAGAAGCAAGCUGGCUAAUUUUCAGCCAUUAUUUUGGAACCCCAACUCCUUCCCGGUAUCAAUUUAGCUAUUAUUUCAAAAGCUAAUUAAUCCUCACUCAUGCAGCUCCGAGGGACCGGUGUUUAGAUAAUUAACAGCCCGUGGAUUACGACAAGCCCUGCUCUCGGAUCCCGUUACAGCUCUUGCCUUCAAGUACACUCGCGCUGUCGUUCUGCUUACCAACUCCUUUCAUCAAUCCAUCUUUUUAUUUGACAAUUAACAACAAAUAAUUAGCCGGGAUGGAUCCUAUUUGCUUUCUUGCAGCUCAGCUCCGUUUUGGGGGACUGAAGUGUUCUUCAGCUGUGUGGGUCUGUAGGGAUUGUGGAGCUCGUUACAACCAAGCAGGACAGGUCGCUGCCGUUACCAGCGUCUGGAAAAGGGAGUUCUUAUUGCUCAGCUCCUCAGUGAGUGACAUCAGGUGUGAGAAAGGAGGUGCUGCUGUAAGGUUGUUGGUACCUCUCCAUCCCAAGCUCCCAUCCCAGGAGAAUGUCUCUUCCAGCUGCCCAAAGCCUCUCUUCUGCCGCUGCUCCGAACUCCUCUUAGGAGACUUCUGCCUGUGAAUAGAUUUGUCUUUGCUAACUUUGCUCAGGAAAGCUUCAGUUCCACGAGGAGUUUCCAUCUUACCUUUCAAAGAGGUGAAGCUCGGUCUCAGCCUUUUUCCCUGUGAGAUGCAGGUCCCUGGCUGGCAUCCCCUCUCCUCUGGCUCUCCAAGCUGAUGGGCACCUGGAAGACUCCUGUAAGGCUGGGAGAACACCUGUCGUCUCUGCACCUCCUGCCCACUGAGCGAGGGGCCCAAGCUGCCCUGGUCCCUGAGCUGGCUCUGCUUGGGCAGCACGAGGGCAUCCAUCAGCUUGUGCUGGUUUUAAACAGCUGAUAUGGAUGCAGACUCACUCCUGGUUUCAGGCAGAAGGAAAUCCUUUCUGAUAAGCUGCUGCUUUUUCAAACAGACGAUAAAGCUCUGCAGGUAGAACUCCCUGUGCUAGCAGUUUGACCCCUAAUGAAGUAUUUACCAGGAUGGCACCUUGCUCUGCCUCAGGAAAUACUGUCCUUUCACCUGUGUGCAGCUCUCAGGUCUUUUGCAAAGCCCACGGUUUAAGGAGAGCAUCAAAGCAGCCAGCAAUCCUCUCCUUCCCCUUCUCAAUCUCUCUCCAUUCCCACUGCGGAUGCGGUUUGCCAGAGACCCUGGGGCUCUGCACCUUGGAGAGCAAAGGGCUUGCAGGAGAGCUGCACAUCAUUGUGUUUGGGAUGCUGUGUCCUCCCUGCUGCAAUCAGAGCAGCGACAUGGAACCAGGAGGGUGGUGAGCCUGGUGGAAAUGCCACUCCUGCUGGCUGUGAGCAAUGGCAAAUAGAACAAGGGGCUGCUGCUGAGCCUGGCGUGUGCACCCUGAGGUGGCUGUUUGGGGUGGAGGCACCUUCAGGAUUGAGCUUUUUGGGGAAGGUUGCACUCUUUUGUGCAUGUUUUAAUGAUUUGCCAUGGUAUUCUGUUUCAGCGGGACCGGACAUCUUCCUCUGCCACGCUGCCCCGACCUUUGUGGUGAGGUUGUGCAUGGAGAAAUGUGCUGAACCACCCCGUUGCCAUGGAAACCAAGGCCGAGAGGGGACCAGCCUGCUCCUGCUAAUUGCUGUGGCUUUGUGACCCCAUCCGUCCAUCCUGCUGCCUCCCGUGAGCCUGUCCGAAUGCACAGCGCUGGCCCCAUCCUGCAUCAUCCUGCCCUUUGGCUCCCAGCCCCAAUGCUGUGAGCAGGAUCUGGGGUUCCUCUUUCUCUCCUUUGUGUUGUCACAACCUGCACAAGAUCAGUUAAAAUCCGUGGCUUGAGCAUCCCUGCAGCCCAUCACCCCGUGCGUGCACAUCUGCCUGCAUGCUUGUUGCAGGAGCACGGUGGCGGUGCAGUGAUGCACCUCCCUUGCCCUGCAUCCCGGGCUGCCCUGCCUUUAUCUCGUCCAAUUAAAUAACUGCAGAUAGUGGGCUUAAUAAGGCCCUGCUAUGAAAGAUUACUGACGAUUUCUUUCCCAACGUGCGGUGAAUUAGGAGGCAGUGAGCAGAGAAAGGACUGCUGCUAAUUACAGUCCCCCAUGUCCCCUCUGCUGCCACCACUGCUGCUGGGCCCCUCGCUGCUCCCUGCACCUGAUUGCAUUUUGCUGCUGGUUGUGGCCAAUUUGCAGCUCUCAGCUGCUGCUGCUUCUCCCUUCCCCCCACGCCCCCUGCUCCUCUUCGAGUUUAUUAAUGAAAACCUUAUCUGUCGGUGCAGAUAAUGCCAGAAAUAAUUAGUGCACACGGAGGGCUGGCAGGCUGCUCUCUGCUCCCACCACCCACACCCUCUCCUCUCACUGUUUACAGUUUCCUGUGCUGCUUGGGGCUGCUUUUUGGGUUUUUAAGCCUCCUUGCUCUGUACAGAUUUAUUUGCUUCUCUCUCUCUCUCCAAGUUUUCCUUGCUCAGAAAGAGACAGACAGACCUGAGGCACAGAUGCAUCCUAAAGAGCUUGACCUUAAGCACCUGGGCUGCAGGUGCCCUGACCUUAUGGCUGCUGGAAAUGGGGAGCUGCCCCCCAAUGCCCAAGAGCAGGGAUUGCAUUUGCUCCUGGCAUGCUCUGGUCAGGUCAUGGCCCUGCUCCUGCUGCGCCAGCGCCGUCCUCGCUUUGCUCGUGCUCCCUUUCAUUACACUUAGCAUCAUUGUCUCUUGGCUUAAAUCUUUCAGCCUGAUAAAGGACGACAGCGCUGCUCGAGUGCCUGGGAUGGCAUAAAUAAUUCCAGUGCUGAGAGAGAUUUACAGCUAUAUAAAUGUCAGGAGCGAGCCCAGUUUGUAUUAAUGGCCUUAUUAGUUACAUUGCUGUAAAAUACAGAUCCUCCAAUUGUUAAGCGGCCGUGGUUUUGGUCCACAGCAUUAAUCCAAUAAAUUUGGGCUUCUCAAUACAAAUCUUCAUCUCUGAACCCCACUGGAAAAUCCUUCAUGGUAUGUCAGAGAGCUUUAAAUGGCUGUGGCUGAGACAGAGGUGGGAAUAACAGAGCUGGUGGGAGCACAGGUGUAAGGCAGCGCAGCAGCCCAUCCCCACCCAAGGGCAUGGGAAGUGUGGAGGUCCCUUGGCCGUGAGGAGCUGUGGGGUGGGAUUGGUGCUUUUGUCACCAGCUUGGAAACCACAGCCCAACCCAAGAGCUCCCAUGGCUCUGAGGUGUCCGUCCGUCCUUCCCACCCUGCUGCCAUCCCUCCCUGUACCAUGGUGCAUCUCGUAUGAGGACGUUCUGCAACUCUGCAAACUUUCCACCAGCGACCUGCCAAGUGCAUGGGGAGGGAGAGGGGAAAGCACCACGAUAAUUGAAAAUAAAUGGUGCAUUAUAUGAAAUAAAUGUUCUGGUGCAG